ACUGCCCCACCAACCUCAGCUUUGACCCUUUCUUUCCUGCGCAGAAUAAAACAUACUGCUGGUUGUUGUAGUGUUUACUGUCUCUUGAUUGGGAGAGUUUCGUACGUGGUGUCCCAGUUCCAGGCCUUUGGUCUCUUGGCUGGUAGAGUGAGGUUAUAUUUUUAGACUGCGUUUGAAGCGAUGGAAAGAGCUGUCCUUCAUGACAGCUGUUGGUGAUCUGGUGGCGUAGGUACACGUGUUGUGGUGCUGGAUCUUGCCCGUGGGUGCAACUAACCCUAUUAACCGGACUGAGUAAGAAGUAAGGGAUAUCUGUUUUGGAAGAGGGCAGGGGGUCCAAAGUUGUAAUGUUCUUGGUGGGGUAGAGAGGUAAGUCGGGAAGGGUGUUGCUGAGGGAUGGAGGAUUCCUUGGUAAUGGGAGACUCCCUGACCUGUUCAUUUCCAGACAUUUUCACGUUUGUGACUUCCUUCCCCUUGUUUCAAGGAAGUAGGAUUUUUGUGAAGGAAGGGUGACCGCCCUGUAAUCGGGGUUCGGGUCGCCUUCCUUUUCCCCCUCUUGGCAUUGGCCCUCUUAAUGACAAAGGCCAAAGUGAGCUCCCUCUAACUAGGGUGUGCAACUUUCCCAAGCUUACUCCCCCAUUUGAAAGCUACUUAUAGAAACCAGCCUCUUGGCACCGUUAGGCGUUUCUCCUUCUAGCUGUCCUGUCACCGUGCCCUACUCACACGCACAACCAAGUCGAAAGCGAGCGAACUCUGCAUCUAGCUGGCCCCGGCUUCUGCUGCUGCUGCUGCUGCUGCUGCUGCUACAAGAUCUCCUGCUCCAUGCCACAGCAACUCAAAAGAGAAAUUGGACAAGAAGACAGAGAAGCACCAAAGAAACGGCAGGAAAAGAGAAUGGAAGCAGAAGCCACGGAAAAAGGACACACACCUUGCACACACGGGCCUCCCCGUAAUGGGGACUCGUGACUUCCACUUAAGCGUCCUCCCCGUUGAGGUGCCAGCAACUCAAAAGAGAAAUUGGACAAGAAGACAGAGAAGCACCAAAGAAACGGCAGGAAAAGAGAAUGGAAGCAGAAGCCACGGAAAAAGGACACACACCUUGCACACACGGGCCUCCCCGUAAUGGGGACUCGUGACUUCCACUUAAGCGUCCUCCCCGUUGAGGUGCCAGCAACUCAAAAGAGAAAUUGGACAAGAAGACAGAGAAGCACCAAAGAAACGGCAGGAAAAGAGAAUGGAAGCAGAAGCCACGGAAAAAGGACACACACCUUGCACACACGGGCCUCCCCGUAAUGGGGACUCGUGACUUCCACUUAAGCGUCCUCCCCGUUGAGGUGCCAGGUAAAAGGACCUCCCUGUAAACAGGGAUCAAGGUCCAUUCCUUCCAAGGAUAAAGGCUUGAGGGGUCCAUAAGGUAGCUAAGGCUGAAGGACCCCCUUUAAAAAGGGUAGCGGUCUCUCUGUGGGUUUCCGCUCUUUAGGAGCUAGCCGUUAAAAUGCCCUGUGCCUUUGACCUCUCCCUGUAAGAAGGGUUCAGGUCUCCCCUUUCUAGCCUGUCUUGGGCCGCUGGCACUUGCUGGGCAAAGAGAGACCACCCUCUCCUGAGGGAAUGGAGGUCUCUCCUUUUCUCCACUCUAGGCUCUGGCCCAUGCUUAAGGACCACCCUGUAAUCAGGGUUUGGCUCUGCUUUGCCAUGCUGCUUUAGCCACAGGUCACUUUGACAUGCCAGGCAAAAGGACCGCCCUGUAAGCAGGGUGUAAGGUCUUCUCCCUCUCCCUCUUAAACCAGUGGGGCCUUUCCGUGCCUGUGCCUGAGGGACCUCCCUUUAGGAAGGGUAGCGCGCUCUCUGGGGGUUUCAGCUCUUUAGGAGCUAGCCUUUAAAAUGCCCUGUGCCGUUGACCUCUCCCUGUAAGCAGGCGUCAGGUCUCCCCUUUCUAGCCUCUUUUGGGCCGCUGGCACUUGCUGGGCAAAGAGUCCACCCUCUACUGAGGGGAAUGGAGCUCUCUCCUUUUCAGCGCUUUAGCCUCUGGCCUAAUGUAAUGCCCCUGGCUUAAGGACCACCCUGUAAGGAGGGUUUGGGUCUGCUUUACCAUGCUGCUUUAGCCACAGGUCACUUUGACAUGCCAGGCAAAAGGACCCGCCCUGUAAGCAGGUUGUAAGGUCUUCUCCCUCUCCCUCUUAAACCAGUGGGGCUUUUAGGUGCCUGUGGCUGAGGGAGCACCCUUUAAGAAGGGUUGCGCCUCUCUCUUUUUCUCUUAGUCCUAGUAAACUGCCCCAGAAAUGAUUUCUCCUUGGCUUUUUUGAAAUUUGCAGUCCAGUCGUAUUUGUGACCUCUUGAAUUCAAGCCGGGCUCCGAUGUAACAUGGUGUGGCGAAGGGCCGGCUGUAAGGGGAUGGUGGAGGCCGUGAGAAAUUCGACCCUUUUUCCAAAAAAGCCAAGAAGUCCCCCAAACCAUCCAAAUGUUCCCAGGUCUGGAAAUGAACAGGUGAGGUGGGGGAGCGGGGGCUCCUUUCAGCUCCUUCUUUCCAUGUAAUCCUUCCUCAUUUCCUCUUGCCCUGCCCAAUUAACACUGCCCCACCAACCUCAGCUUUGACCCUUUCUUUCCUGCGCAGAAUAAAACAUACUGCUGGUUGUUGUAGUGUUUACUGUCUCUUGAUUGGGAGAGUUUCGUAGGUGGUGUCCCAGUUCCAGGCCUUUGGUCUCUUGGCUGGUAGAGUGAGGUUAUAUUUUUAGACUGCGUUUGAAGCGAUGGAAAGAGCUGUCCUUCAUGACAGCUGUUGGUGAUCUGGUGGCGUAGGUACACGUGUUGUGGUGCUGGAUCUUGCCCGUGGGUGCAACUAACCCUAUUAACCGGACUGAGUAAGAAGUAAGGGAUGUCUGUUUUGGAAGAGGGCAGGGGGUCCAAAGUUGUAAUGUUCUUGGUGGGGUAGAGAGGUAAGUCGGGAAGGGUGUUGCUGAGGGAUGGAGGAUUCCUUGGUAAUGGGAGACUCCCUGACCUGUUCAUUUCCAGACAUUUUCACGUUUGUGACUUCCUUCCCCUUGUUUCAAGGAAGUAGGAUUUUUGUGAAGGAAGGGUGACCGCCCUGUAAUCGGGGUUCGGGUCGCCUUCCUUUUCCCCCUCUUGGCAUUGGCCCUCUUAAUGACAAAGGCCAAAGUGAGCUCCCUCUAACUAGGGUGUGCAACUUUCCCAAGCUUACUCCCCCACUUGAAAGCUACUUAUAGAAACCAGCCUCUUGGCACCGUUAGGCGUUUCUCCAUCUAGCUGUCCUGUCACCGUGCCCUACUCACACGCACAACCAAGUCGAAAGCGAGCGAACUCUGCAUCUAGCUGGCCCCGGCUUCUGCUGCUGCUGCUGCUGCUGCUGCUACAAGGUCUCCUGCUCCAUGCCACAGCAACUCAAAAGAGAAAUUGGACAAGAAGACAGAGAAGCACCAAAGAAACGGCAGGAAAAGAGAAUGGAAGCAGAAGCCACGGAAAAAGGACACACACCUUGCACACACGGGCCUCCCCGUAAUGGGGACUCGUGACUUCCACUUAAGCGUCCUCCCCGUUGAGGUGCCAGGUAAAAGGACCUCCCUGUAAACAGGGAUCAAGGUCCAUUCCUUCCAAGGAUAAAGGCUUGAGGGGUCCAUAAGGUAGCUAAGGCUGAAGGACCCCCUUUAAAAAGGGUAGCGGUCUCUCUGUGGGUUUCCGCUCUUUAGGAGCUAGCCGUUAAAAUGCCCUGUGCCUUUGACCUCUCCCUGUAAGAAGGGUUCAGGUCUCCCCUUUCUAGCCUGUCUUGGGCCGCUGGCACUUGCUGGGCAAAGAGAGACCACCCUCUCCUGAGGGAAUGGAGGUCUCUCCUUUUCUCCACUCUAGGCUCUGGCCCAUGCUUAAGGACCACCCUGUAAUCAGGGUUUGGCUCUGCUUUGCCAUGCUGCUUUAGCCACAGGUCACUUUGACAUGCCAGGCAAAAGGACCGCCCUGUAAGCAGGGUGUAAGGUCUUCUCCCUCUCCCUCUUAAACCAGUGGGGCCUUUCCGUGCCUGUGCCUGAGGGACCUCCCUUUAGGAAGGGUAGCGCGCUCUCUGGGGGUUUCAGCUCUUUAGGAGCUAGCCUUUAAAAUGCCCUGUGCCGUUGACCUCUCCCUGUAAGCAGGCGUCAGGUCUCCCCUUUCUAGCCUCUUUUGGGCCGCUGGCACUUGCUGGGCAAAGAGUCCACCCUCUACUGAGGGGAAUGGAGCUCUCUCCUUUUCAGCGCUUUAGCCUCUGGCCUAAUGUAAUGCCCCUGGCUUAAGGACCACCCUGUAAGGAGGGUUUGGGUCUGCUUUACCAUGCUGCUUUAGCCACAGGUCACUUUGACAUGCCAGGCAAAAGGACCCGCCCUGUAAGCAGGUUGUAAGGUCUUCUCCCUCUCCCUCUUAAACCAGUGGGGCUUUUAGGUGCCUGUGGCUGAGGGAGCACCCUUUAAGAAGGGUUGCGCCUCUCUCUUUUUCUCUUAGUCCUAGUAAACUGCCCCAGAAAUGAUUUCUCCUUGGCUUUUUUGAAAUUUGCAGUCCAGUCGUAUUUGUGACCUCUUGAAUUCAAGCCGGGCUCCGAUGUAACAUGGUGUGGCGAAGGGCCGGCUGUAAGGGGAUGGUGGAGGCCGUGAGAAAUUCGACCCUUUUUCCAAAAAAGCCAAGAAGUCCCCCAAACCAUCCAAAUGUUCCCAGGUCUGGAAAUGAACAGGUGAGGUGGGGGAGCGGGGGCUCCUUUCAGUUCCUUCUUUCCAUGUAAUCCUUCUUCAUUUCCUCUUGCCCUGCCCAAUUAACACUGCCCCACCAACCUCAGCUUUGACCCUUUCUUUCCUGCGCAGAAUAAAACAUACUGCUGGUUGUUGUAGUGUUUACUGUCUCUUGAUUGGGAGAGUUUCGUACGUGGUGUCCCAGUUCCAGGCCUUUGGUCUCUUGGCUGGUAGAGUGAGGUUAUAUUUUUAGACUGCGUUUGAAGCGAUGGAAAGAGCUGUCCUUCAUGACAGCUGUUGGUGAUCUGGUGGCGUAGGUACACGUGUUGUGGUGCUGGAUCUUGCCCGUGGGUGCAACUAACCCUAUUAACCGGACUGAGUAAGAAGUAAGGGAUGUCUGUUUUGGAAGAGGGCAGGGGGUCCAAAGUUGUAAUGUUCUUGGUGGGGUAGAGAGGUAAGUCGGGAAGGGUGUUGCUGAGGGAUGGAGGAUUCCUUGGUAAUGGGAGACUCCCUGACCUGUUCAUUUCCAGACAUUUUCACGUUUGUGACUUCCUUCCCCUUGUUUCAAGGAAGUAGGAUUUUUGUGAAGGAAGGGUGACCGCCCUGUAAUCGGGGUUCGGGUCGCCUUCCUUUUCCCCCUCUUGGCAUUGGCCCUCUUAAUGACAAAGGCCAAAGUGAGCUCCCUCUAACUAGGGUGUGCAACUUUCCCAAGCUUACUCCCCCAUUUGAAAGCUACUUAUAGAAACCAGCCUCUUGGCACCGUUAGGCGUUUCUCCAUCUAGCUGUCCUGUCACCGUGCCCUACUCACACGCACAACCAAGUCGAAAGCGAGCGAACUCUGCAUCUAGCUGGCCCCGGCUUCUGCUGCUGCUGCUGCUGCUGCUGCUACAAGGUCUCCUGCUCCAUGCCACAGCAACUCAAAAGAGAAAUUGGACAAGAAGACAGAGAAGCACCAAAGAAACGGCAGGAAAAGAGAAUGGAAGCAGAAGCCACGGAAAAAGGACACACACCUUGCACACACGGGCCUCCCCGUAAUGGGGACUCGUGACUUCCACUUAAGCGUCCUCCCCGUUGAGGUGCCAGGUAAAAGGACCUCCCUGUAAACAGGGAUCAAGGUCCAUUCCUUCCAAGGAUAAAGGCUUGAGGGGUCCAUAAGGUAGCUAAGGCUGAAGGACCCCCUUUAAAAAGGGUAGCGGUCUCUCUGUGGGUUUCCGCUCUUUAGGAGCUAGCCGUUAAAAUGCCCUGUGCCUUUGACCUCUCCCUGUAAGAAGGGUUCAGGUCUCCCCUUUCUAGCCUGUCUUGGGCCGCUGGCACUUGCUGGGCAAAGAGAGACCACCCUCUCCUGAGGGAAUGGAGGUCUCUCCUUUUCUCCACUCUAGGCUCUGGCCCAUGCUUAAGGACCACCCUGUAAUCAGGGUUUGGCUCUGCUUUGCCAUGCUGCUUUAGCCACAGGUCACUUUGACAUGCCAGGCAAAAGGACCGCCCUGUAAGCAGGGUGUAAGGUCUUCUCCCUCUCCCUCUUAAACCAGUGGGGCCUUUCCGUGCCUGUGCCUGAGGGACCUCCCUUUAGGAAGGGUAGCGCGCUCUCUGGGGGUUUCAGCUCUUUAGGAGCUAGCCUUUAAAAUGCCCUGUGCCGUUGACCUCUCCCUGUAAGCAGGCGUCAGGUCUCCCCUUUCUAGCCUCUUUUGGGCCGCUGGCACUUGCUGGGCAAAGAGACCACCCUCUACUGAGGGGAAUGGAGCUCUCUCCUUUUCAGCGCUUUAGCCUCUGGCCUAAUGUAAUGCCCCUGGCUUAAGGACCACCCUGUAAGGAGGGUUUGGGUCUGCUUUACCAUGCUGCUUUAGCCACAGGUCACUUUGACAUGCCAGGCAAAAGGACCCGCCCUGUAAGCAGGUUGUAAGGUCUUCUCCCUCUCCCUCUUAAACCAGUGGGGCUUUUAGGUGCCUGUGGCUGAGGGAGCACCCUUUAAGAAGGGUUGCGCCUCUCUCUUUUUCUCUUAGUCCUAGUAAACUGCCCCAGAAAUGAUUUCUCCUUGGCUUUUUUGAAAUUUGCAGUCCAGUCGUAUUUGUGACCUCUUGAAUUCAAGCCGGGCUCCGAUGUAACAUGGUGUGGCGAAGGGCCGGCUGUAAGGGGAUGGUGGAGGCCGUGAGAAAUUCGACCCUUUUUCCAAAAAAGCCAAGAAGUCCCCCAAACCAUCCAAAUGUUCCCAGGUCUGGAAAUGAACAGGUGAGGUGGGGGAGCGGGGGCUCCUUUCAGCUCCUUCUUUCCAUGUAAUCCUUCCUCAUUUCCUCUUGCCCUGCCCAAUUAACACUGCCCCACCAACCUCAGCUUUGACCCUUUCUUUCCUGCGCAGAAUAAAACAUACUGCUGGUUGUUGUAGUGUUUACUGUCUCUUGAUUGGGAGAGUUUCGUAC
This is a long non-coding RNA of Gopherus evgoodei (Goodes thornscrub tortoise), 7111 nucleotides long. RefSeq lists it as uncharacterized. The transcript has 6 exons. NCBI's taxonomy places the organism in Eukaryota, Metazoa, Chordata, Testudines, Testudinidae. The record is from RefSeq and is a predicted model, not a curated record.